AUGCUCCCGAGAGCUCAUGCGGGAAGGUGAAGAAUUGGGGGGAAGAGGAGGGAGCAGUUUCCCCUUUCCCCAUGGAGCUGUGUGCAGGUAAAACAGACAAGAAUCAUUUCCCCCUUCUGGCUCAAGUAGCUGAAUCAACGUGUGACCGGUUCAGUUGCUUACAGAAUGAAAUGAACACAUUGUACCUUAACCUCAGCAAAGCAUCUGACAGUCUCCCAUGAAAUUCUGUACAAAAGAUGGCAAAAUCUGAGCUGUAUUUAUCCUACCAGUGAGAGAAUUAGGCCAGUGGUUCCACAAUCAUACCAGACAAAUAUAUGUCAACAAUUUGAAAUCAAGCUGGGAGGAAAUAUGAGUGGCAAACCACAAGACUCCAUUCUAGAUAUUUAAACAGAGGCUGGAUGGAUAUCUGACAGGAAUACUGUUGUUACAAAUUCCUGCACUGGACAUGGAGAUGGAUGCAAUUAUAUCUUUUAUGCCUCUCUUUAUAAGUCUCAAUAUAUUGUUAUUUCAGUACAAUGAUAUUUAUAUGAUAUACUGUAGUUGCAAAUUCUUAACAUUCUGUUAUUGGAUGUAUUGGGAGUAAAGAAAAGUAGAUAUAUUAUCAAUAUUAGCUACGAUUUAGGAUAUUGAUGUUACAAGCAUUGAAAUUAUUUGGCUUUUUCAUUCAAAGUAUAACAUUGGAAAGAAAAAAAAAUAAAGAACACACUGUAA
This is a long non-coding RNA of Pantherophis guttatus, 711 nucleotides long. RefSeq lists it as uncharacterized. NCBI's taxonomy places the organism in Eukaryota, Metazoa, Chordata, Lepidosauria, Squamata, Colubridae. The record is from RefSeq and is a predicted model, not a curated record.